UUGAAAGGGAAACGAUUGAAGUCAGUCGUACCAGCGGGAAAUCAACCUUUCGAGUGGGGGUUUUGGAGUUUUUUGAAGAGUGUCAAAACCUUUGAGAUUUCAAAAUAUUCGCUCUUUUGGUGUACUUUCUCGUGGGUAGGUUAACAUCGAUUUUGAUCAUCAUAAAAAGAUUGGAGGAAUGUAGCUUCGAUCUUGUAUUGAAGUGUUAUAGCCCUUUGGUAAAUGUGAUGAUUAGGAUCGAGGAUUGCAACGAAUACCCUUUUGGGCUAUCCGCCUGAUCUCUGAUACGUGGCCUUGGUAUCGAAAGCGUGCUUAUGGUAUUGAGGUAUUACGGUCAAAAGGUUAGAACGGAUACAUUCGUUAAGGAUGUUGACGUA
This 377-nucleotide ribosomal RNA is filed under the name uncultured Glomeromycotina. RNAcentral describes it as "LSU rRNA". Lineage: Eukaryota; Fungi; Glomeromycota. The record is from RNAcentral.